CCUACGGGCGGCAGCAGUAGGGAAUCUUCCACAAUGGGCGCAAGCCUGAUGGAGCAACACCGCGUGAGUGAAGAAGGGUUUCGGCUCGUAAAGCUCUGUUGUUGGAGAAGAACGUGCGUGAGAGUAACUGUUCACGCAGUGACGGUAUCCAACCAGAAAGUCACGGCUAACCACGUGCCAGCAGCCGCGGUAAUACGUAGGUGGCAAGCGUUAUCCGGAUUUAUUGGGCGUAAAGCGAGCGCAGGCGGUUGCUUAGGUCUGAUGUGAAAGCCUUCGGCUUAACCGAAGAAGUGCAUCGGAAACCGGGCAACUUGAGUGCAGAAGAGGACAGUGGAACUCCAUGUGUAGCGGUGGAAUGCGUAGAUAUAUGGAAGAACACCAGUGGCGAAGGCGGCUGUCUGGUCUGCAACUGACGCUGAGGCUCGAAAGCAUGGGUAGCGAACAGGAUUAGAUACCCGGGUAGUC
RNAcentral lists this ribosomal RNA (465 nucleotides) under uncultured bacterium. RNAcentral describes it as "partial 16S ribosomal RNA". It matches the Rfam family "Bacterial small subunit ribosomal RNA", at positions 338 to 795 of the family's 1533-position model. The record is from RNAcentral.